GCAUCGCCCGCACCUCUCGCUCGCAUCGCCCGCAGCGACAUCUUUUCGGGAUGCGAGAGAGUUGAAGUUCAGUCAACUUUUCCGUGCGGGCGAUGCGAUUUUGCAGAGGGCAGCACGUCCGCCAUCUUGGAAUGUAAACAAACUUGACCUUGGCAAUUUACAUUGGUGGAUGCGAUUGAUGCUAGUGCGUAUUUUCCAUGUCUUAGGGUCUAAUUAGCACUUAAUUGGACAUAGGUUAAUGCUAUUUUCUAAAGACAUUCGUAAUUCUAUAAAUUUAGCCGUUAUUCGUGCGUCAACAUCUGCAAAAUGAUUGAAAGAAGAUCUGCCUGACGGAAUCAAGUACCAGCUACCUACCUCCUCAACCUAGCCAAAAGUAGCACGUUCCAGCACUCGGAUCAGCCCACAACCGCUGUCCACAACAGUCCGACUGUCACCACACCGCCAGUUCCGGACGAGUCGGUGCACGGUGGUGACUGCCCAGUGCCCACGACCCACGUUACUCAGGGACUAACGAGUAGGAAAGCAUCCUGGAAUCGGAGGGAGGGGCAGUAUUCCGCUGGCGAUGCUUCUGCGACUGACCCCACGGGGAACGACCAGACUACCAUGACAACCGUCAACGCAGACAACGCGAACAUCACUACUAGACGCACCUCCUUCAUCCAAGCAAACAUCACCAGCCUAGCAGCAGCCGUUAACCCGCGCCGAGCCGGUGCUCGGCGCCAACCGCGCCGUGCCCGGGGAUCUGUGGACACCCACCCCUUCUAGCUCGGCUCUUGGGUAGCAUAGGGAUAUGUGGUUAGUGGCUUUCAAAGGAGCGUCCAAAACCAAGACGAUAAUACAUCGGUCAUUUUUUAAAGUCAAUCAAGUAAGACGGGUCAUGUUCGGUCCCCCAGGGCCCGGCGCUAUUGGUGCCGAGCAACGGCCCGGCGCAAGAUGUCAGAUCUUGUUAGAACAAUGCGGUUGAAUUUGGACUACAAUAAACCGACACAUAGUACGAUAUA
Molecule: long non-coding RNA, 1001 nt
Organism: Amphibalanus amphitrite
Lineage: Eukaryota; Metazoa; Arthropoda; Thecostraca; Balanomorpha; Balanidae
Exons: 2
Source: RefSeq, a predicted model, not a curated record